AAUGAACGUUGGCGGCGUGGAUUAGGCAUGCAAGUCGAGCGAGAACCGUAGCAAUACGGGGACAGCGGCGAAAGGGACAGUAAUGUGUAGGUACCUACCCCCGGGUUCGGGAUAGCUGCGGGAAACUGCAGGUAAUACCGAAUAAUGUCUUCGGACCAAAGGUGUGAUUCCACCUGGGGAGGGGCCUGCAUCCUAUUAGCUUGUUGGUGGGGUAACGGCUUACCAAGGCGACGAUGGGUAGCGGGUGUGAGAGCAUGACCCGCGUCAUUGGGACUGAGACACUGCCCAGACACCUACGGGUGGCUGCAGUCGAGGAUCUUCGGCAAUGGGCGCAAGCCUGACCGAGCGACGCCGCGUGCGGGAUGAAGGCCUUCGGGUUGUAAACCGCUGUCGUAGAGGAGGAAGUGCAGGGGGGUUCUCCCCUCUGUUUGACCUAUUCUAGGAGGAAGGACGGGCUAAGUUCGUGCCAGCCGCCGCUGUAA
This 482-nucleotide ribosomal RNA is filed under the name uncultured bacterium. Its description in RNAcentral is "partial 16S ribosomal RNA". It matches the Rfam family "Bacterial small subunit ribosomal RNA", at positions 28 to 523 of the family's 1533-position model. The record is from RNAcentral.